AGUGAACGCUGGCGGUAGGCCUAACACAUGCAAGUCGAACGGCAGCACAGUAAGAGCUUGCUCUUACGGGUGGCGAGUGGCGGACGAGUGAGGAAUACAUCGGAAUCUACUUUUUCGUGGGGGAUAACGUAGGGAAACUUACGCUAAUACCGCAUACGACCUACGGGUGAGAGCAGGGGAUCUUCGGACCUUGCGCGAUUGAAUGAGCCGAUGUCGGAUUAGCUAGUUGGCGGGGUAAAGGCCCACCAAGGCGACGAUCCGUAGCUGGUCUGAGAGGAUGAUCAGCCACACUGGAACUGAGACACGGUCCAGACUCCUACGGGAGGCAGCAGUGGGGAAUAUUGGACAAUGGGCGCAAGCCUGAUCCAGCCAUACCGCGUGGGUGAAGAAGGCCUUCGGGUUGUAAAGCCCUUUUGUUGGGAAAGAAAAGCAGCAGGUUAAUACCCCGCUGUUCUGACGGUACCCAAAGAAUAAGCACCGGCUAACUUCGUG
This 492-nucleotide ribosomal RNA is filed under the name uncultured bacterium. RNAcentral's name for it is "partial 16S ribosomal RNA". It matches the Rfam family "Bacterial small subunit ribosomal RNA", at positions 29 to 507 of the family's 1533-position model. The record is from RNAcentral.